AAUAAAUAUUAUAUCAUACCGUAGACAGUAGGUGCUUUUAGGAGCUUAAUGGUCCUGCCGAGGUGUGUAGCACAGAAAACGAUCGACUAUUGAUUUGUUAUAUCUGAUACUACGCCUUCAUGUCUAACCACGUGAAGGCUUUUCUUAUGCUACG
Molecule: regulatory RNA element, 154 nt
Organism: Fictibacillus macauensis ZFHKF-1
Lineage: Bacteria; Bacillati; Bacillota; Bacilli; Caryophanales; Fictibacillaceae
Rfam family: Ribosomal protein L10 leader
About the family: This family is a putative r-protein leader autoregulatory structure found in B. subtilis and other low-GC Gram-positive bacteria. It is located in the 5' untranslated regions of mRNAs encoding ribosomal proteins L10 and L12 (rplJ-rplL). A Rho-independent transcription terminator structure that is probably involved in regulation is included at the 3' end.
Source: Rfam